AGCGAACGCUGGCGGCGUGCUUAACACAUGCAAGUCGAGCGAAGGUGUUUCAAGGGUAACCUUGAGAUACACUUAGCGGCGGACGGGUGAGUAAUACGUGGAUAACUUACCUCUAGGCCUGGGAUAACCCCGGGAACUGGGGCUAAUACCUGAUAAGACCACAUUGUCUACGGACAAAGGGGUAAAAGGUGGCUGUGCAAACAGCUAUCGCCAAAAGAUAGGUUCACGUCCCAUCAGGCAGUGGCGAGGUAAUGGCUCACCAAACCAAAGACGGGUAGCCGGCCUUGGCGGGUGAACGGCCACACGGGGACUGAGACACGGCCCCGACU
Molecule: ribosomal RNA, 329 nt
Filed under: uncultured bacterium
Lineage: Bacteria
Description: bacterial SSU rRNA
Rfam family: Bacterial small subunit ribosomal RNA
Source: RNAcentral